UAUCAAUAAGCGGAGGAAAAGAAACCAACAGGGAUUGCCCCAGUAACGGCGAGUGAAGCGGCAACAGCUCAAAUUUGAAAUCUGGCCCCCGGGUCCGAGUUGUAAUUUGCAGAGGAUGCUUCGGGCGAGGUGCCUUCCGAGUUCCCUGGAACGGGACGCCACAGAGGGUGAGAGCCCCGUCUGGUCGGACACCGAGCCCGUGUGAAGCUCCUUCGAAGAGUCGAGUAGUUUGGGAAUGCUGCUCAAAACGGGAGGUAUAUGUCUUCUAAAGCUAAAUAUUGGCCAGAGACCGAUAGCGCACAAGUAGAGUGAUCGAAAGAUGAAAAGCACUUUGAAAAGAGGGUUAAAAAGUACGUGAAAUUGUUGAAAGGGAAGCGCCCAUGACCAGACUUGGGCCCGGUGAAUCACCCGGCGUUCUCGCCGGUGCACUUUGCCGGGCACAGGCCAGCAUCAGUUUGGCGCGGGGAGAAAGGCUUCGGGAACGUGGCUCCCUCGGGAGUGUUAUAGCCCGCUGCGCAAUACCCUGCGCCGGACUGAGGUACGCGCAUCGCAAGGAUGCUGGCGUAAUGGUCAUCAGCGACCCGUCUUGAAACACGGACCAAGGAGUCGUCUUCGUAUGCGAGUGUUCGGGUGUCAAACCCCUACGCGGAAUGAAAGUGAACGCAGGUGAGAGCUUCGGCGCAUCAUCGACCGAUCCUGAUGUUCUCGGAUGGAUUUGAGUAAGAGCAUACGGGGCCGGACCCGAAAGAAGGUGAACUAUGCCUGUAUAGGGUGAAGCCAGAGGAAACUCUGGUGGAAGCUCGCAGCGGUUCUGACGUGCGAAUCGAUCGUCAAAUAUGGGCAUGGGGGCGAAAGACUAAUCGAACCUUCUAGUAGCUGGUUUC
Molecule: ribosomal RNA, 884 nt
Filed under: Cordyceps fumosorosea
Lineage: Eukaryota; Fungi; Ascomycota; Sordariomycetes; Hypocreales; Cordycipitaceae
Description: LSU rRNA
Rfam family: Eukaryotic large subunit ribosomal RNA
Source: RNAcentral